AGUGUUGCUCUGACUCCGAUCCAACCAACCCUCAAAGAUUCGCACCGCGCGGCACGCACCCAGCAGGUUCCAGCGUAAAAGCUGCUCCGGUCCCAAGCGCGUCUCCAAACCCCUCCUUUACAGCGCCGCCUCCCCAGCCAGCCCCGGUGCGCAGUGGCGAACAGCCCGCAGAGCCCCCAGGCUUACCUGUAGCAUGUGGUGAGCUCGCCUGAAGACUUCAGACACGGGUCCACGUGUGUCCCAACGCCAGGAGCAGCAGCAGCGGACCCAGGCUCCUGCCCAGCUGGCCCCUGGCAGCUCCUCCCCGGCUCGGAGGCGGCGGCACCAUCAGGGAAGCUCCCGGCUUCUUCCCAGCGCCGAGCUCCGUCCGGACCAAGCGUCCUGCUCCUCCGCGGCCGCCGCCGCCUUCCCUCUUCCCGGCAGGGGGCGCCGGAGAGCAGGGGCGUUUGCACCACCUGCACGGGGAGCAGGGGUCCGGAAUAUUAUGGGGCUGGGGGGAAAAUGAGGCUAGGAGUUGGGGUAUCGGAUGCAAACCCAGCAGAGAAGCAGGUAAAGGGGGUACCUGCGGUGUCCGGCUGGCGCGAGGGCCCUGAGGUUCAAGUUGUCUCGUCGGGACGUUCACGUCCGAUUGACAGACUUGCUGGACUCGGCUUGGGGCUGCGCCCUCGCCUCUUCCCUCUCCCUCCUCUGGGAGAAGCGCGCAGGGUGGGGAAAGCGGGCGGUUGUUUGCAUUUUGCACCAGGGUCUCACGACCGGGAGGAGGAGGAGCUGAUUCUCCACCGGGGAGAAGAGGGAGGGGGAAGAGAGGGGUUAAUAAGCUUCCUUCCUGUUGUCCAUGGGUUUCUAAAGCCCAGGGUCAGGCCAGUGUUCGUCUUUCCUCCGUGAGGACCUACCCUGAGAUUUGCAACUAUCUUAGUCUUCUUUUCUCUUAGAUUAUGUGAGGAAGGAGGAGUUGAAAGGCUACAACGGGCCUCUCAAAUUGUUCAAACCUGAAAUAGCGCUAUUUAUAUAGUGUAAUCACUCUUCCUUAAAACCUUUAGAAGAAAGUUCUCUGGUUGUUUCAUUGGUCAAUAAACCAUGCGCUGUCUUCUUCAUAACUCGAGUUCGGAACAAGUAAGGAGGUCUUUCUGGGAGCCUUACAUCUCCUUGUCCUGAGCGGCUUUAAUACUGUUUCCACGCCGCGCACAUCAGAGCUGGAAACGCCCCCCCCCAUCAAAUGAGACACGUGGGGGCAAAUUAAUUACAGGUGCUGCUACCUGCUAGUGUAUGCAGCCGCGUUGAUAGGUAACAAGAAAACGGAGGAGGGGGGCCGUAAAUCGGCUCCCUUGACGGUGACCCUAAUUGUAAUUCGUGUGUCAGCAACUUAACACUUUGUUGCGCUUUAGGAGUUUUCUCAGCCUUUUCCAGAGAAACUGGGGACGUGGAUGUGGCCCAGAAAUAAGUUGAAAAAGGAAAAGUUCUAAUGCCUAAGCUCUAAAAUAUGCGUGGUUCUGCAUCUCACAGGACAACGAGGUAAAAAGGUGGCUUGUUCACAAGUGACCGGUGUGUAAAUUGGUUAGGUAAGCACAUAUUUUGAUAUACAGAAUAUGCUGGUCAACUGAGAAUUACCACACAUAUCACAUACACAUUGACUUUUUUUUUUUUUUGAGACGGAGUCUCACUCUGUCGCCCAGGCUGGAGUGCAGUGUCUCGAUCUUGGCUCACUGCAACCUCCGCCUGCCGGGUUCAAGAGAUUCUUCUGCCUCAGCACCCCAAGUAGCAGGGAUUACAGAUGCAUGCUUCCACACCCGGCUAAUUUUUGUAUUUUUAGUAGAGACAGAGUUUCACCAUGUUGGCCAGGCUGCUCUUAAACUCCUGGCCUCAAGUGAUCUGCCCAACUCGGCCUCCCAAAGUGCUGGGAUUACAGGCGUGAGCCAUAGCAGCCAGCCCACACUGAUAUUUUUGAUAGCAAUGACAUUGUCAUUCUUCCGUAGAAUGCUAUGUCUUUUCCUAAGAUUUUUCAUAUUCAAGAUUUUAUUUGGUUCCCACAAUAUCCCUUCAAUCUGAGCAUCUGAUUUCUUAGUUCUGUGAGGUGUGUUUUUUGUUGGCUUAUUUUACAAAACUUACAUAUUCGGAAGACCACCCACUUGAUAUUAAAAUAUGACACUGCUACUUAACACAAAUGAGUUAAUUUUUAUUUGAUAAUUCAGAAGACAUUUCAGGAUGUUGCAAAACUGGAGAGUGAUCAUCAUGAGGUCAGAAAAAAAAAACCAUGAGGUCAGAAAAAACUGGAUUCAAACUCAGGCUGUUUGGUUUCCUGGAGGAGUGAUCUGAAGCAAUUUACUUCUGACACUCUGUUUUCUCAUCUGUAAAAUGGGGAAAUAUCUCUCAUCAAUUUUUAUGAGUAUUAAAUGAAGCAAUGCUUCUAUAGCAUUUUGUUUAUCAUGCCUGGCAUAUGUUGAGUGCCCUGUAAACAUUAUUACUUGUAACGUAAUUAUUGUAUUGCACAGAACUUUAAGUUUUUGCCUUCUAGCCUUCUAGCUUUUCACUUCCUAGAUAUAUAGGAAUCCACUUUAUAACAGUUGUUUGGGUUCCUAAAGACAGACCUCACUAAGCACAUGAGGAAGAAACCCCUUCUGGGGCUUAUGAUAAUUGUAUCUCUUCAGAUUGUGACAAAAAAGUGUUUGAUAUCCAUCUUGGAAGGGAGAGGCCAUCUUGUAAUCUGGUAGGAGGUUCUAUUUUUAAUUCCUUACCAAUUACUGUAUCUUGACAACUUGCUGUCUUUUUUCUCAUCUUUACGCAUUUUAUUCUUCUACUGUUGCAUUGUGGACGUUAGUUCUACAAGUAACAGAGCGUGGUAUAGGAGAUUAAUUAUCAGUUUCAUUAAAUAGUUACUAGGCCACAAGUGCAGACCUGCAGCAUUUCAGGGAAAGUGAUUCAGGCUGCAAAAUGAUAACAGCAAAACCAUUAUACACAGCUGUGUGGCAGAAGAUUGGCAUCAGAGCUGACUUUGCCACCUUUUUAUUUUCAGCUCCUGGUGCUGAGUGCCUAUGAGAAUAAGGGGUUAGAGAAGUUGCUGGGGCCCAGCAAACAGCUCAGGUUUGCACAGGGAGGAAAUCCCAACGGUGGGUGGUCAGAGCAUUUCAUACAUUUCUGUAAGAGGUGAUCUGGAGCCGAAACCUUCUGAAAAACCUUUGCCUAGAGGCCUGUAAUUUCAACCUACUGCCAGCUACUGACAGCAUGGGGUGCAGUGAGGAGUUGCUUGUCCGGGGAGCACUGCCAAGCCGGAAAGAGCUAUGGAUGGCCAUAUAUGGAUACCUGCCCCCAAAAAGCUAAAUACUCCUGUAAAAGACAAAAUCUGCAUUGCCCAGGCUGCGGGCUGCAUGGGAGAUGUCAGUGCUGGGGCUGACUGGUGGGAGCCUCAAGGGUGCUGAGUUUUCUUUCCUCCCUUCUAGACCAUGUGCAAGCCCAGGCCUGCCCUGUCCCCUCACCUAUGAAACACUGGCCUGAGAGAACAUGCCAUCCACCUCUUUCAUAGGAGUGUUACAAAGAUUAAUGAUAGGGCCCUAAAUGCUCCUUGGGGGAGGCCGUGUGUGAUUAUGUGAUUAUUUCUUUUCAGCAUACCACUCUCUGCAAAGUUUUUCAUAAAGAUCUGUCAGUUUCCCUGAAACAAACCAGAGAGCAGAUAGUUAUACAAUUUACUGUGUCCUGGGGAUGUGGGGCUGUGUCUGGGGCUUUCUAGUGCAUACUAUGUUAUAGGUUAGAAUCCCUGGUAGACCAGGUAUUGUUAAGUAGUACUGCUGCAUGUUGCCUGGGGGUGGGGUGACUGGCUGGAGAAUAGAGAGACGGCUGCGUACAAAAGUAAAGUGAAAGGAAAAAAGAAAAGUAAACACCAGGACACAGGGCAGAGAAUAUGCUUCUAAAUAAAAUCAGUUGUCUCUUCUCAGUUUUAAGGGACUCCAACAUCUUAUUUGAAGAAAAUCAGAAUAUAAAGAACAGACCACCACCAACUGGGACAAUUCAUUUCACCAUUUAAAGAUUUUCCUAUAAAAAGGAUUUGUGGUGGCUGACAAAAAAUAAACUAUUGUGUGUGUGUGUGUGUGUGUGUGUACAUAUGUACACAAAGUGUAUGUAGUAUAGGGCAAAAUUAGACAAAGAAAUUAAGGCAAAGGAAAAAUCAGGAUCAAACAGUAAAAUAAAGCUGAUGUUAUGUUAAUUGGCAGGGCUGUAUAAGCAGAAAGUCCUGGGCCACGUUUCAAGCAGAUCACAAGUCGGUUCUCAAAUUCUCAGAAGUCAACUCAGGAUAAUUACAUGAUCAGUCAUGAGAUUCAAGGUAACCAUAAAAGAAAAGCCUAUAAAUUGCUUGGAAAAAAUGACAGUUUGUUCCCCCGGUCUCCCUGAAAUAUAGCAACAGUCACCUAACUGUAAGGUAAGGUGAAACAAAGCUCAACAAGUGUGGGUAAAGUUCAUAUUGUACUGUGAGUGAUAGGCAUACGAUAAGAUAUCCCUAAAACAAAGAAUUGCCCUGAUACCUUUCCUUCAGUUUCAGUUUUGAUUGACGUAUAUAGGCAGGUCUGCUUAGAGAAUUAGGGUUACAUCUUGGAAGGUGUGAAAGUGUGCCAGUCUCCAAACCAUUGUGGGGGACUGUUUGAGGCAAGAAGAAUAAAAAAAAAAGUUUUUAAAACAGUAAAUGGAUGUUAAAGCCCUGGUUUUUGGGCGUGUAUAUUACCUUUUCACUAAGCCUGUCUUAGUUUUAACUUGCACAAAUUCUGAAAGUUGAUUGAAGCUGUUGGUCUCUGGAAUUUUCUCCCAAGGCAGGAAGAAAUGUCUGAUUCCUGUGUCCAUGACAGAAUCACACCAUUUUUGCCCAAUUUUGAAAUAAAAGCCAUUUUCAUAGAUUAGUUAGCUUUAUACUUGGGUAGGCCACUCAAAAAUGUACAAAUAGAAAAAAGAGAACCUUCUAGCUACAUGAUUAUCUCCAAAAAUAUCAAGAAAAAUUAUCCAUGUGAUUUGGAUGUCUUAUUUGGUCUGGAAAGUUGUAACACACAGGGGCCCAGUCUAGGUUUUCCCCCAAAUCAGUAUCUGUUGAGGCAAUAUGAGUUGGCAGUCUCCUUGACCAAUCAAGAGCUAUAGGAUCAAACCUGGGAUUUGGGGUGGAGAAGCGUGUUCUAACACCACUCAAUUCUGCAGCUCCCUUUGCAACAAAUAGCGAUGGCAGGAGCUGCAGCUGCUCUGACCCAUCUCUUGUCCCCAUGAGCAUGAACAAAGGAAGGACAAGGGGCCAGCAGCAGAUGUGGGGCCACUGGCUCAUGCUGUGAAGUCCCUGUUCUAGAAAAUGGAUUUGAAUCUCCCGAGGACUUAUGAGCUGACUCCUUUGAGUGUCUGUCAUUCCAAUGCUAGCAACAUCUCGUUUUAUUUUUGAAGAGCAAACCCUGUUUAUCUCCCUUAACUCGGCAAGGGUAAGAGUUACUUAAUGUUUAUUAAGAACUGGGAGAUAUUCACUCAGUAAUAUGGUAUCAAACCAAUUUGACAGGUAAUAAUGCUGACUUGGAAAGUGUUUUGAUUUGAGCCAAGAUAUCUUUUAUGGUGGAAUAAAAAUAAUUCUACUACCCAUGCCAGCAGAGGAUGCUAAUUUAAAACUUUUUUUUUUUCCUCUGGAUAUGAGGUUGACCUUACUUUCCUCUUUUAAAAACUGGACUUAGAGAAAUAGCACUGGGAGUUGGGAAAAAACUAGACUUAAAAGUAAGUUUUACUUUGGUUUGAAAUUCAGUUCUACCACCUAAUACCACUAUGACCCUGAAACAUUUGCUUCAUCUUCCUGGGACUCAGUUUAUCCACAGAUAAAACAGAAUGACAAUAUCCAUCUCAUAGAACUGAUGAAAAGAGUAAAUAGGAUCUAUAACAAGCCCAUCACAUCAGAGGUAAUAAAUGAUACCUAAGAUUAUUUUAGUUUUUAUCUUCAAUAAUUGGGAUGUAGUUAUGCUGGACCAUCCACCCUGUCUCAUCUUAUUUGCUUUCCAUGAAAGAUAACUUUGUGAAAUUGAUAGCUAAGGAUAGGACACCAUGUCAUAGAACAGCCUAAAAUAAAUAGCAGAAUUGACAUUGGUGUCAUUAACAUUGUGCUUAAAUCAGACAUUAGGGGGUGACUGAGUCUCUAAAUCAAAUCACCCAAUAAUGGUUGCUAGAAAAUAGAAUGCAUAUACUUCCUUUAGAGAAGAGCUGUGCUUCUGAUUACUGUCUGUCCUACUUUUACCUCAUUGUUUAAAUGUUUGAGAGGCUACCUAGUUAAAACCCAGCUGUGAUCAAUUCUAUUUUUCAUUUAUUUAUUUUAGAGACAAGAUCUGGCUCUGUUACCCAGGCUGGAGUACAGUGGUGCAAUCAUAGCUCACUACAGCCUCCAACUCCUGAGAUCAAGCGAUCCUCCCACCUCAGCUUCCCAAAGUGCUAGGAUUACACACGUGAACUACGGCGCCUAGCCUGAUCAAUUCUAGAGAGGCAAAAAUAACUCUCUUCAAAUCUAUCCACUAGUGACAUCAUGUUCUGUUGAGCUUUUCUUACUGGGUGACAUCGGGAAAGUUUGCAACAGUGUAAGGGGCCCCAGCCUAAGGAGUCCACAAUCUCCUUGAAGAGCAGCUGUGUUUAAAGGAAACAGCAGUCCAUACUGUGUAGAAAAAUCUCAGAGUUCAGGUUUUAAAAGUUGUUAGUUUUUUUUUAAGUCGUUAAAGAUUCUAAUAGAAUGUGGAAUGCAUUUCUUAAUGAAAAUAGAGGCCUGUGGGCCAGGCACAGUGGCUCACGCCUGUAAUCCUAGCACUUUGGGAGGCUGAGGCAGGCAGAUUGCCUGAGCUCAGGAGUUCAAGACCAGCCUGGGCAACAUGGUGAAACACUGUCUCUAAUAAAAUAUAAAAAAUUAGCUGGGCAUGGCGGCAUGCACCUGUAGUCCCAGCUACUCGGGAGGCUGAGGCAGGAGAAUUGCUUGAACCCGGGAGGCAGAGGUUGCAGUGAGCCAAGAUCAUGCAGAUGCAUUCCAGCCUGGAUGACAGAGUCAAACUCCGUCUCCAAAAAAAAAAAAAAAAGAAAGAAAGAAAAUAGAGGCCUGUGGCUCUAUUUUCUGAGGCAGUGGGCACAGUUACUCACACCUGUAAUCCCAAUACUUUGGGAGGAUGAGGCAGGAGGAUUGCAUGAGCCCAGAAGUUCAAGACCAGCCUGAGCAACAUAGAAUCUGUUUCUACAAUAAUAAUAAUAUUAGCUGGGUGUGGUAGUGCACACCUGUAGUUCCAUCUGUUCAGGAGGCUGAGGUGGGAAGAUCGCUUGAGCCUGAGAAUCUGAGGCUGCAGUGAGUCAUGAUCAUGCCACUGCACUCCAGCCUGAGCAACAGAACAAUUAAGAAAACAAACAACAAAAAUAAUAGAGGCCUGUUCAUGAUAUAAUGCCAAGAAAGCUAUAUUCCUAUAAGCUUUUAAUGGAUGAUGAUAAUUUUCCAAGAAUUUGGAACAACAAAUAAAGAAUAACAAAUAUUUAUUGACCAUUUGGUACAUGUAGACAUUAUUCUAAGCACUAUUCAGGUAUUAUCACAUUUAAGCCUUAUCAAAAUCUUCUGUCACUGAUUCUAUUAUUGUCUGCAUUUUAAAGAUGUGGAAACUGGUGGGGCGCAGUGGCUCACACCUGUAAUCCCAGCACUUUGGGAGGCCGAGGCUGAACAGAUCACUUGAGGUCAGGAGUUCGAGACCAGCCUGGCCAAAGUGGUGAAACCCCAUCUCUACUAAAAAUACAAAAACUAGUUGGGUGUGGUGGGCAUGCCUGUAGUCUCAGCUACUUAGGAGGCUGAAACAGGAGAAUUGCUUGAACCCGGGAGGCAGAGGUUGCAGUGAGCCAAGAUCACACCACUGCACUCCAGCCUGGGCAACAGAGCAAGACUCCAUCUCAAGAAAAGGCAAAUAAAAAUAAAGAUAUGGAAACUGAGGCAGUGAUUUUAUUAGAUCCCUAAGGUACAGUUAUAAGGGCAGUUUCGGCACCAGAGCUCACGCUGUCAUCACUACACUAAACUGUCCUUUGGAGAAGUAAGCAGCUAGGUAGUUUUUGCCUAAGAGAUAGACUGCAUCCAGUAUGUUUGCCCAGGGACAUAAUGCAAACCAGGGAAGGCCCAUGGUCCACCACCAUAACCAGUAACCCUGACAUUGCCUGAGUUAGUGCUCAGGCACAAUCUUCUUUCUGCAGUUCUGUUAACCAGCUGGCCCCAUAAGUUCCCACCUCUGUAUAUUAGCCCCAGAGCUCUCUGCAGCAAAGCUGAGCUAUAUCCAUUGGACCUGUCUUCCUAGAGGCAAACAAUCACUGAUUUACAUGGGAAUGCUGGCAUGAGAAGAAUGAGAUGAGGUUUCACAACUUGUGGAGUUCUGGCACUUUUGCAAACUGUCCUUCCAGUUCUAUCUCCGGCCCAGAAACAGGUUUUUAUCAGACCUAGAACUCUCACAAAACUAGGAGAUUAUGAAGACUACUCACAGAGAGCAUUUCUGCAAUCACCACAAGGAAAUACCUAGGCAAAAUGUUUUAAAAACUUCAGAGUACAGCAUAGUCCUGUGGAACCUACUUCUAAUUGUGAAUAGAAAAGGGCAAGCAGUUGCAACCAGGUUUUGCUCCAGAUGGUUGGAAGAUCUUUGCAUUGAUCUCUCUGUUCCUCCCCUCACACAUCCCAACAACACACAAACACAACUCUUGGAGGUUGUUGACUUGUCUGCAGUGAAUGGUUUAAGAUCAGCAUGGUUUUGCAUUCUUUGGUCCUAAUCUUUACCAGCAAUGCAGGAUCCCAAAGGAACGCCAGAUAAAAUGAGCUGACUUGGUUUAGUUUCACUUAAUUGUUUUGCAUCCCUUUUUGUUUGUGGUAGAUCAGGGUAAUUGUUGACCAUCUUUCUGCUUGAUUAGUGAUGUUUAAACCUGAACCUAUCUUUCAGUGAUGUUUAUUUGGUUUGAAACCUCUGAUGAGCGUCAUGAUAAUUAGAAAGCGAGUUGAGACUUAUCGAAGCUUCUUUCAGUUCCAACAUUUAUCUGGAGUAUUAUUAUAAUAAACCUGGAAGUGAUGUGUGUAUAUGCAAUUUGACAUGUAUCUGGCUCUCACAUCUUUACGUCCUGAUAGAAGGCUAAUGGGCCUAAUGGGCCCUGACCCUGUGUGUCAGUUACCUGUCAUUAAACCCUCGGAUUGACCUGCUUUGAGGUCGAUUCCCUCUCAGGCUGGCGUCACUCCCUGGACAGUCGUCCCAGACUUCCUUUCAGGUCUUUUUCUCUACUUUCUGCUUUUUGCUUGUCUUCCUUUCUGUUCCCUCUUCCAUCAAUCAUUUUUGCUGUCACUCCUUCUAUGGUGAGACUUUUACCUACCAGCUUUCUCUUUCCUCUGGCUUUAUGAUCUAUUCUCUGCUAUUUUCUGUUAGCUACACUGCUCUUCCUUAAAGUGUAUCCCUACUCCUUCCCCAAUCCUAUUUCUUCCUCUGAAUCAUUGGUUCUCAACUGAGGGGCAAUCUUGGUACCCAGUGGAGAUUUGGCAAUGUCUGGAGAGAUUUUUAGUUAUGACGACUGGGGGUGGGGGUAGUGACUUUACUUGCUAGCAUCCAGUGGGUAGAGGCCUGGAAGCUAAUGAACAUCCUACAGUGCACAGGGUGGCCCCUCCCCCCACGGUGACACAACAAGGAACUGGCUGGCUCAAGAUGUCAAUAGAGCCAAGCCUCAGAAGUCCCAGGCUACACAGAUGUCUAUCCACCUCUCAAUGGGAGUGUUUUCUCUCCUGGUUCCAAAUCGCAGUUGCUUAAUCCUUUCUUUCCCCAGGCCGGGGCUUUAGUGUGUUCCCAUUCACUUGUUAUUGCUCUUCCUUGCCACCGGAUCCUUCUUGACUGAACAGUCCUUACACCUUCACACUUGCCCUGAUCUCACCCCUGAGACUUAGUGUAGCAGCUACUUUAUCAAUCAGCUGCCCUGGAGUGACCUGAGGAGCUACAAAAAUAAUUUUCUUAGAAUUCUGUUUAUUUUCCAGUUUUUCACAAAUCCAGUGCAGUGUUGUUGUUGUUAUUGUUGUUUUUGCUUUGUUUUGUUUUGUUUUCCUGAAACAGCAUCUCACUCUGUGCCCAGACUGAUGUGCAGUGGCGCAAUCAUAGUUUACUGUAGCCUCAAGUUCCUGGGCUCAGGCAAUCCUCCUGCCUCA
RNAcentral lists this long non-coding RNA (10162 nucleotides) under Homo sapiens (human). Its description in RNAcentral is "HSALNT0394714". The record is from RNAcentral. Lineage: Eukaryota; Metazoa; Chordata; Mammalia; Primates; Hominidae.